Molecule: ribosomal RNA, 435 nt
Filed under: uncultured organism
Description: bacterial SSU rRNA
Rfam family: Bacterial small subunit ribosomal RNA
Source: RNAcentral
AGAGUUUGAUCCUGGCUCAGAGCGAACGCUGGCGGCAGGCUUAACACAUGCAAGUCGAGCGGGCGUAGCAAUACGUCAGCGGCAGACGGGUGAGUAACGCGUGGGAACGUACCUUUUGGUUCGGAACAACACAGGGAAACUUGUGCUAAUACCGGAUAAGCCCUUACGGGGAAAGAUUUAUCGCCGAAAGAUCGGCCCGCGUCUGAUUAGCUAGUUGGUAGGGUAAUGGCCUACCAAGGCGACGAUCAGUAGCUGGUCUGAGAGGAUGAUCAGCCACAUUGGGACUGAGACACGGCCCAAACUCCUACGGGAGGCAGCAGUGGGGAAUAUUGGACAAUGGGGGCAACCCUGAUCCAGCCAUGCCGCGUGAGUGAUGAAGGCCCUAGGGUUGUAAAGCUCUUUUGUGCGGGAAGAUAAUGACGGUACCGCAAGAAU